This 405-nucleotide ribosomal RNA is filed under the name uncultured Eubacteriales bacterium. RNAcentral's name for it is "bacterial SSU rRNA". It matches the Rfam family "Bacterial small subunit ribosomal RNA", at positions 356 to 774 of the family's 1533-position model. The record is from RNAcentral. Lineage: Bacteria; Bacillati; Bacillota; Clostridia; Eubacteriales.
GGGGAAUAUUGCACAAUGGGCGAAAGCCUGAUGCAGCGACGCCGCGUGAGGGAUGACGGCCUUCGGGUUGUAAACCUCUUUCAGCAGGGAAGAAGCGAAAGUGACGGUACCUGCAGAAGAAGCGCCGGCUAACUACGUGCCAGCAGCCGCGGUAAUACGUAGGGGGCGAGCGUUGUCCGGAUUUACUGGGCGUAAAGGGUGCGUAGGCGGCCUUGUAAGUCAGAUGUGAAAGGCUACGGCUCAACCGUAGUAAGCAUUUGAAACUGCAGGGCUUGAGUGCAGGAGAGGAGAGUGGAAUUCCUAGUGUAGCGGUGAAAUGCGUAGAUAUUAGGAGGAACACCAGUGGCGAAGGCGACUCUCUGGACUGUAACUGACGCUGAGGCACGAAAGCGUGGGGAGCAAACA